RNAcentral lists this unclassified non-coding RNA (235 nucleotides) under Glomeraceae sp. RNAcentral's name for it is "partial contains 5.8S ribosomal RNA and internal transcribed spacer 2". The stretch from base 1 to 65 matches the Rfam family "5.8S ribosomal RNA", at positions 84 to 154 of the family's 154-position model. Lineage: Eukaryota; Fungi; Glomeromycota; Glomeromycetes; Glomerales; Glomeraceae. The record is from RNAcentral.
GUGAAUCAUCAAAUUUUUGAACGCAAAUUGCACUCUCCUCGGAGAGUAUGCCUGUUUGAGGGUCAGCCUAUAAAAAAUCGACAUCGUUGCUGGUUCGCGGUGGCGGUCGUCGGAAAUUUGGGCAUCUUAAAUACUUUUUAUUUAAGCGACUUAAAAUUUUCUUUUGGUUCCAUGUAUGUUUCUAAGAUUUAUUUCUUUAUAUGUUUAAGGUACCAAUUUUUAAUUGAUGUUACAA